AGUGAACGCUGGCGGUAGGCCUAACACAUGCCAGUCGAACGGCAGCACAGUAAGAGCUUGCUCUUACGGGUGGCGAGUGGCGGACGGGUGAGGAAUACAUCGGAAUCUACUUUUUCGUGGGGGAUAACGUAGGGAAACUUACGCUAAUACCGCAUACGACCUACGGGUGAAAGCAGGGGAUCUUCGGACCUUGCGCGAUUGAAUGAGCCGAUGUCGGAUUAGCUAGUUGGCGGGGUAAAGGCCCACCAAGGCGACGAUCCGUAGCUGGUCUGAGAGGAUGAUCAGCCACACUGGAACUGAGACACGGUCCAGACUCCUACGGGAGGCAGCAGUGGGGAAUAUUGGACAAUGGGCGCAAGCCUGAUCCAGCCAUACCGCGUGGGUGAAGAAGGCCUUCGGGUUGUAAAGCACUUUUGUUGGGAAAGAAAAGCAGCAGGUUAAUACCCCGCUGUUCUGACGGUACCCAAAGAAUAAGCACCGGCUUACUUCGUG
This 492-nucleotide ribosomal RNA is filed under the name uncultured bacterium. Its description in RNAcentral is "partial 16S ribosomal RNA". It matches the Rfam family "Bacterial small subunit ribosomal RNA", at positions 29 to 507 of the family's 1533-position model. The record is from RNAcentral.